Molecule: long non-coding RNA, 213 nt
Filed under: Elaeis guineensis (African oil palm)
Lineage: Eukaryota; Viridiplantae; Streptophyta; Magnoliopsida; Arecales; Arecaceae
Description: long non-coding RNA (EGUI_LNC044717)
Source: RNAcentral
GACACAAACAAACAAAAUCGAAGUUGAUUAGAUCAAAUCUGGAGCCUAAUGUAAAGGCAUCCUUGAAUAGAUAUGGGAGAGUAUCAUGUCAGUCGAACAGAUACUUCAGUUUCUAGAUUUGGGAUGGGGAUUUGAUCUCCCAUAUGGAUGCUAUAUAGGGAUCUAACUUUGAGAAGUGGCUUGGAGCCAUUAAAUCUAAAAUAAAAUCCAUAA